CCUACGGGGGGCUGCAGUGAGGAAUAUUGGUCAAUGGACGAGAGUCUGAACCAGCCAAGUAGCGUGAAGGAUGACUGCUCUAUGGGUUGUAAACUUCUUUUAUAUGGGAAUAAAAUGUUCCACGUGUGGGAUUUUGUAUGUACCAUAUGAAUAAGGAUCGGCUAACUCCGUGCCAGCAGCCGCGGUAAUACGGAGGGUCCGAGCGUUAUCCGGAUUUAUUGGGUUUAAAGGGAGCGUAGGUGGAUUGUUAAGUCAGUUGUGAAAGUUUGCGGCUCAACCGUAAAAUUGCAGUUGAAACUGGCAGUCUUGAGUACAGUAGAGGUGGGCGGAAUUCGUGGUGUAGCGGUGAAAUGCUUAGAUAUCACGAAGAACUCCGAUUGCGAAGGCAGUUCACUGGACUGCAACUGACACUGAGGCUCGAAAGUGUGGGUAUCAAACAGGAUUAGAUACCCCUGUAGUC
RNAcentral lists this ribosomal RNA (460 nucleotides) under uncultured bacterium. Its description in RNAcentral is "partial 16S ribosomal RNA". It matches the Rfam family "Bacterial small subunit ribosomal RNA", at positions 338 to 795 of the family's 1533-position model. The record is from RNAcentral.